CAGCGCCGCGGUAAUACGUAGGUGGCAAGCGUUGUCCGGAAUUAUUGGGCGUAAAGGGCUCGCAGGCGGUUUCUUAAGUCUGAUGUGAAAGCCCCCGGCUCAACCGGGGAGGGUCAUUGGAAACUGGGAAACUUGAGUGCAGAAGAGGAGAGUGGAAUUCCACGUGUAGCGGUGAAAUGCGUAGAGAUGUGGAGGAACACCAGUGGCGAAGGCGACUCUCUGGUCUGUAACUGACGCUGAGGAGCGAAAGCGUGGGGAGCGAACAGGAUUAGAGACCCGUGUAGUCCCUGUCUCUUAUACA
This 301-nucleotide ribosomal RNA is filed under the name uncultured bacterium. RNAcentral describes it as "partial 16S ribosomal RNA". It matches the Rfam family "Bacterial small subunit ribosomal RNA", at positions 509 to 808 of the family's 1533-position model. The record is from RNAcentral.